RNAcentral lists this ribosomal RNA (787 nucleotides) under Chaetothyriales sp. TRN515. Its description in RNAcentral is "SSU rRNA". It matches the Rfam family "Bacterial small subunit ribosomal RNA", at positions 370 to 1209 of the family's 1533-position model. The record is from RNAcentral. Lineage: Eukaryota; Fungi; Ascomycota; Eurotiomycetes; Chaetothyriales.
AAUGGUCUAACGACUGAACCAGCAAUUUGGAAGAACGUAUAAUAAAUAAAUUAUUUAAAGUUCUAGAUAAAAUAUUUAUAAUGACUAUUUUUUAUCUAUAAGUCUUGGCCAAAUUACGUGCCAGCAGUCGCGGUAAUACGUAAAAGACGAGUGUUAUUCAUCUUUAAUCGGUUUAAAGGGUACCUAGACGGAAAAUCAAGCUUAAUUAAACUAAGGACUAGUUUUCUAGAGUUUGACAUGAGAAGGUACGAACUAUCAGAGGAGAGAUAAAAUUUGUUGAUACUGGUGGGACGGACAACGGCGAAGGCAAUCUUCUACUAAAAACUGACGUUGAGGGACGAAGCCUUGGGGAGCGAGAAGGAUUAGAUACCCUAGUAGUCCUUGGAGAAAAUUAUGAGUGCCAUAGACUAAAGUGAAAAAGAAGUUCUUUUAAAAGAACUUUGUAUCUGAGCCUUAAUUGGAUACAAAGGUCUCGAGUAGCAGUUUAUAAAUGAAAGUGUAAGCAUUCCACCUCAUGACUAAAGCGGCAACGCCCAAAUUGAAAUCAUUAGACCGUUUCUGAAACCAGUAGUGAAGUAUGUUAUUUAAUUCGAUAACCCGCGAAUAACCUUACCACGUUUUGAAUUUAUUAAACAAGUGUUGCACGGCUGUCUUCAGUUAAUGUCGUGAGAUUUUGGUUUGUUCCAUUAAUUAACGAAAACCCUUGUUUCAUUUUUAUAUGAAAUAGUUCACCGUUAUAUUGGAAAGAUAAAAGGGAUCAAGACAAGUCAUCAUGGCCUUAAUAACG